UCUCCGUAGGUGAACCUGCGGAGGGAUCAUUACAGAGUUCAUGCCCUACCGGGUAGAUCUCCCACCCUAUGUUAUUAUUACCUUGUUGCUUUGGCGGGCCGUUAGGCUCCGGCCCGACUACCGGCCCCGGCUGGUAAGCGCCCGCCAGAGGACCCAAAACCCUGAAUAUUAGUGUCGUCUGAGUACUAUAUAAUAGUUAAAACUUUCAACAACGGAUCUCUUGGUUCUG
Molecule: unclassified non-coding RNA, 229 nt
Filed under: plant metagenome
Description: partial contains small subunit ribosomal RNA, internal transcribed spacer 1, and 5.8S ribosomal RNA
Source: RNAcentral